Long non-coding RNA from Papaver somniferum (opium poppy), 896 nucleotides. RefSeq lists it as uncharacterized. NCBI's taxonomy places the organism in Eukaryota, Viridiplantae, Streptophyta, Magnoliopsida, Ranunculales, Papaveraceae. The record is from RefSeq and is a predicted model, not a curated record. The transcript has 4 exons.
GUUCUAUAUAUGAUAUCAUUGUUUUUGUGUAUGAAUUGAAUUGAGUUUCGAAAUUUGUAUUUGGUUGUAAUGUAGGAUUUGAAGACAAAGGAGGAGCUGCAGGCUAAGGAGGCCGAACUGAAUAAAAUUGAACGGAUGACCAUCUUUCAACUAGUCGUGGAGUAUCUUAUGUGCAACUAAGAAAUAAUCUUCCAUCACCAACAAAAUCAGUUCACCUUUUGCAUUAGCAGAAAAGUAGUUCUACCAAGGUGGAAGCUGAAUUCAAGAACCUCUUGGAAGGAUUGCACAAAUUUGUGAUGGCAGGUCUAUCAAAGUCAGACAGAGGAGAUGAGCCAGACACUUUAAAUUUUCGGAGUUAAUUUGUGGCAACCAUUUCAGAGGAGGGUAUGCCAAUGAUAUUCUCUGUGAGCAACAAAAUAAAAGGGAGAGAGGUUAGAGCUCACAAAAGCUGCAGUAGUUGACGCUCGCAAAAUGGUCUCGACGAGAACCAUUGCCGACAAAGUAUGCAGGGAAGGCCUCUCUAAGAGUUGCAAGCAAGUUGAAUUUCUGUAUUUUCCCCUUUCAGCGGGAUCCAAUGUUCAUCCAGGAGUGUUCUUGUGACAACUAAAAACAUAGAAUUCUUAACUACCUCAACAUACAUACAUCUGUAGAAUCCAACAUCGGAGUUUAAAAGUAAAGAAAGAACCGUUCUUGAACUACUUGUGAUCACCCAUUUUUUGGGUAUGUGUUUUUGUACAAGAAUCUAUAUGCAAUUUGUUGUAAUUCUUGAAAAUACCUUGCUGAACAAUUAGCUUUUUCACUAGAAAGGGUCAGUUGCCAACAUUGGAGAAGGUAAGGAUACAGCAGAACUUGGGUUUUAUUUUUGAAAUUGGUGAGUGUCAAUAGUUUCAAAUUUU